Molecule: ribosomal RNA, 492 nt
Filed under: uncultured bacterium
Lineage: Bacteria
Description: partial 16S ribosomal RNA
Rfam family: Bacterial small subunit ribosomal RNA
Source: RNAcentral
AGUGAACGCUGGCGGUAGGCCUAACACAUGCAAGUCGAACGGCAGCACAGUAAGAGCUUGCUCUUACGGGUGGCGAGUGGCGGACGGGUGAGGAAUACAUCGGAAUCUACUUUUUCGUGGGGGAUAACGUAGGGAAACUUACGCUAAUACCGCAUACGACCUACGGGUGAAAGCAGGGGAUCUUCGGACCUUGCGCGAUUGAAUGAGCCGAUGUCGGAUUAGCUAGUUGGCGGGGUAAAGGCCCACCAAGGCGACGAUCCGUAGCUGGUCUGAGAGGAUGAUCAGCCGCACUGGAACUGAGACACGGUCCAGACUCCUACGGGAGGCAGCAGUGGGGAAUAUUGGACAAUGGGCGCAAGCCUGGUCCAGCCAUACCGCGUGGGUGAAGAAGGCCUUCGGGUUGUAAAGCCCUUUUGUUGGGAAAGAAAAGCAGCAGGUUAAUACCCCGCUGUUCUGACGGUACCCAAAGAAUAAGCACCGGCUAACUUCGUG